AACGCACAUUGCGCCCUUUGGUAUUCCGAAGGGCAUGCCUGUUCGAGCGUCAUUAUCAACCCUCAAGCCCGGCUUGUUAUUGGGUCCUUUAUCUGUUAAAAGAUAGGCCUGAAAGAUAAUGGCGGCGUCAUAGGUGACCCCAGGUGCAGCGAGCUUAUAGCAUACACUGUGGUGGUCCUUAUGGCCUGGCCCUUUUGUUAAAUUUUUAACCAAGGUUGACCUCGGAUCAGGUAGGAAUACCCGCUGAACUUAA
This 253-nucleotide unclassified non-coding RNA is filed under the name Ceriporiopsis sp. RNAcentral describes it as "partial contains 5.8S ribosomal RNA, internal transcribed spacer 2, and large subunit ribosomal RNA". The stretch from base 1 to 52 matches the Rfam family "5.8S ribosomal RNA", at positions 103 to 154 of the family's 154-position model. Lineage: Eukaryota; Fungi; Basidiomycota; Agaricomycetes; Polyporales; Meruliaceae. The record is from RNAcentral.